GUUCAUGUAGCUUAAAGCUAAAGCAAGGCGCUGAAAAUGCCUAGAUGAGUCCACCAACUCCAUAAACA
RNAcentral lists this transfer RNA (68 nucleotides) under Taurotragus derbianus (giant eland). RNAcentral describes it as "tRNA-Phe". It matches the Rfam family "tRNA". From Rfam's summary of the family: Transfer RNA (tRNA) molecules are approximately 80 nucleotides in length. Lineage: Eukaryota; Metazoa; Chordata; Mammalia; Artiodactyla; Bovidae. The record is from RNAcentral.